UCCGGCUUAUCACCGGCAGUUUUCUCAGAGUUCUCAGCAUUACCUGUUAGCAACAGAGAAUGAGGGUUGCGCUCGUUGCGGGACUUAACCCAACAUCUCACGACACGAGCUGACGACAGCCAUGCAGCACCUGUGCUCCUCCCACCCGAAGUGAAGAGACCCUUUUCGGGGUCUCAUAGAGGGCAUGUCAAGUCCUGGUAAGGUUCUUCGCGUUGCCUCGAAUUAAACCACAUGUUCCACCGCUUGUGCGGGUCCCCGUCAAUUUCUUUGAGUUUUAAUCUUGCGACCGUACUCCCCAGGCGGGGUGCUUAACGCGUUAGCUGCGCCACUGAGAGGUAUCCCCCCAACGGCUAGCACCCAUCGUUUACAGCGUGGACUAC
Molecule: unclassified non-coding RNA, 380 nt
Filed under: uncultured Rickettsiales bacterium
Lineage: Bacteria; Pseudomonadati; Pseudomonadota; Alphaproteobacteria; Rickettsiales
Description: contains 16S-23S intergenic spacer region
Source: RNAcentral